RNAcentral lists this long non-coding RNA (1236 nucleotides) under Setaria italica (foxtail millet). Its description in RNAcentral is "long non-coding RNA (SITA_LNC005547)". The record is from RNAcentral. Lineage: Eukaryota; Viridiplantae; Streptophyta; Magnoliopsida; Poales; Poaceae.
UAACUUUAAUGCAAAAUGACACUUGGGUCUAAAAGAGAAAUACACUCAAGGGUUCUUGCAAAAUGGAUCUUCCAUCAAGCCACAGGCAGUCUUCCGAGGGAUCAUCAGCCUAGUAUGGAGCAUCCGAGUCGAAGCCAUCAUCUUCAUAGUAUCCACUUCUUCUCCAGCUUCUUAGCAGCGGCGGGGAAAACAUAGCAGGGGUUGAAAGGAAAAACGAUGAGUACUUGCAAGUGUGGGAAAUUAUAUGACAUGAGGCCAAAACAAGGCUUACUCACCUAAGCAACUCAUCCUAAACCUUAAUUACCUUAGCACCUAUUUACUAGAUGUGAUCACCGACACCGUAAGCUCCAAACCACCAAGCCAACGCCUCGGAUUCCAUCCGAGCACCAAAACCAACACUGGAUUCCAUCCAGCAUCCAAGCCACACCAGGGUAACACCUCCCGGCCUCCAAACCAACAAUCCAUCUCCACUAAUCACGAAGAAGUCCAAGCCACUCUUGACCAUGAGCACGACUGAUAUAUCAGUUUUACACUCUGCAGAGGUUGCACUUUUUACCCACGAGUCGUGUUCCUAAAUACGCAAUGCACUUCCAAGGUGAUUAGCCAAGGUCCUACUACAAGGUCUUUCAGAAGUCGUGACUUCCCACCAGCAGACACCUACUGAGGAUUCACCGCUAACAAGGAGUCUAUUUUCCUCCACUGUAGAAACCCCCUCUUGUGCCACUCAAACCGUCCGACAAUGAAAACUAGUGGGGCAACUACUUAAUUGACCAGGUCUAGAGCCAUAUAGCCCUCGUGGUUGCGCGGUUAAGCCAGGUUACUUCUCCAUGAAACGGUCCUUCCAAUCCGAGCAGGCAACCCACGUGUCAACGACACAAACCAAAUAAAAUCCAAUUGAAUCAGAACCAUCCACCUGGUCCAUCCAUUCUACUCAGAUUCCCUAAUUACCAUGUUGCUACCAAAAGAUUACCAACCGGUUCCCAUUGCACAAACAAUUAAUCAGACCAACUCUACAAGCUAAACAUGAAACUACCCAUAACCAUCCAACCGGGGUUUCAAGGAAUAUGUUGGAAAUAUCUAGUAAACCCUAACAAGGGAUUCCAAUUUAAGACACAUCAUGCAACUAAGUCUAACUACUCUAAUAAAAUAAAAUAAAUAGGAUUAAGAAUGAUUAAGGACACUUGCCUUUAGAAGAAGAGUGUUCAGCAACUUUGAAUUGUUGAACUUGGAGGUUCA